GCCGGAUUAGCACAGUGGUAGUGCAGCGGUUUUGUAAACCGAAGGCCGGGAGUUCGAAUCUCUCAUCCGGCA
RNAcentral lists this transfer RNA (72 nucleotides) under Bombella intestini. It matches the Rfam family "tRNA". Rfam says of the family: Transfer RNA (tRNA) molecules are approximately 80 nucleotides in length. The record is from Rfam by way of RNAcentral. Lineage: Bacteria; Pseudomonadati; Pseudomonadota; Alphaproteobacteria; Acetobacterales; Acetobacteraceae.